AUCACUUUUGGCUAACAUCAGGUGUACUGUUUGUUCUUAUCAGUUGAAUCACUAUUAAGUCCUCUAGUCAAGGACAAUAUAUUAAAUGGAUUUUUGGAAGGAGAUGGAAUAACAUCUUGUUCUGUUCAUGCCACACAUCAGCAUGGUAUCACAGUACUUCCUAGAAUGGUGCACUCUCC
RNAcentral lists this small nuclear RNA (179 nucleotides) under Carlito syrichta (Philippine tarsier). Its description in RNAcentral is "U2 spliceosomal RNA (ENSTSYG00000032125.1)". It matches the Rfam family "U2 spliceosomal RNA". Rfam says of the family: U2 is a small nuclear RNA (snRNA) component of the spliceosome (involved in pre-mRNA splicing). Complementary binding between U2 snRNA (in an area lying towards the 5' end but 3' to hairpin I) and the branchpoint sequence (BPS) of the intron results the bulging out of an unpaired adenosine, on the BPS, which initiates a nucleophilic attack at the intronic 5' splice site, thus starting the first of two transesterification reactions that mediate splicing. The record is from Rfam by way of RNAcentral. Lineage: Eukaryota; Metazoa; Chordata; Mammalia; Primates; Tarsiidae.